RNAcentral lists this non-coding RNA (225 nucleotides) under Paenibacillus sp. RNAcentral describes it as "T-box sequence". It matches the Rfam family "T-box leader". Rfam says of the family: Uncharged tRNA acts as the effector for transcription antitermination of genes in the T-box leader family. T-boxes are found upstream of many aminoacyl-tRNA synthetase genes and some amino acid biosynthetic genes usually in Gram-positive bacteria. Lineage: Bacteria; Bacillati; Bacillota; Bacilli; Caryophanales; Paenibacillaceae. The record is from RNAcentral.
UGAACGUUAAUGAAUGGAAAAGUAGUCCAUGGCAAACAGUCGCAGCGAGCCGGGUUAGUGCAAGCCGGUACGGUUGCCGCGGAUGAAUCGGGCCCAGGAAACGAUCUGCCGAACCGAAGUAGGCCGAUCCGGCAAAACGCCGUUACGAAAUAAAGAGGUCAGACCGGCUAUGGUCUGACACUUAGAGUGGUACCGCGGGGAACCUGUAAGGCUCUCGUCUCUACA